This 1381-nucleotide ribosomal RNA is filed under the name Salinicola sp. Its description in RNAcentral is "bacterial SSU rRNA". It matches the Rfam family "Bacterial small subunit ribosomal RNA", at positions 84 to 1461 of the family's 1533-position model. Lineage: Bacteria; Pseudomonadati; Pseudomonadota; Gammaproteobacteria; Oceanospirillales; Halomonadaceae. The record is from RNAcentral.
CUGUGUGGCGAGCGGCGGACGGGUGAGUAAUGCAUAGGAAUCUGCCCGGUAGUGGGGGAUAACGUGGGGAAACCCACGCUAAUACCGCAUACGUCCUACGGGAGAAAGCGGAGGCUCUUCGGACUUCGCGCUAUCGGAUGAGCCUAUGUCGGAUUAGCUAGUUGGUAAGGUAACGGCUUACCAAGGCGACGAUCCGUAGCUGGUCUGAGAGGAUGAUCAGCCACACUGGGACUGAGACACGGCCCAGACUCCUACGGGAGGCAGCAGUGGGGAAUAUUGGACAAUGGGCGAAAGCCUGAUCCAGCCAUGCCGCGUGUGUGAAGAAGGCUUUCGGGUUGUAAAGCACUUUCAGCGAGGAAGAAAGCCUUUGGGUUAAUACCCCAGAGGAAGGACAUCACUCGCAGAAGAAGCACCGGCUAACUCCGUGCCAGCAGCCGCGGUAAUACGGAGGGUGCGAGCGUUAAUCGGAAUUACUGGGCGUAAAGCGCGCGUAGGUGGCUUGGCACGCCGGUUGUGAAAGYCCCGGGCUCAACCUGGGAACGGCAUCCGGAACGGCCAGGCUAGAGUGCAGGAGAGGAAGGUAGAAUUCCCCGGUGUAGCGGUGAAAUGCGUAGAGAUCGGGAGGAAUACCAGUGGCGAAGGCGGCCUUCUGGCCUGACACUGACACUGAGGUGCGAAAGCGUGGGUAGCAAACAGGAUUAGAUACCCUGGUAGUCCACGCCGUAAACGAUGUCGACUAGCCGUUGGGACCUUUAAGGACUUAGUGGCGCAGUUAACGCGAUAAGUCGACCGCCUGGGGAGUACGGCCGCAAGGUUAAAACUCAAAUGAAUUGACGGGGGCCCGCACAAGCGGUGGAGCAUGUGGUUUAAUUCGAUGCAACGCGAAGAACCUUACCUACCCUUGACAUCCUGCGAACCCGGAAGAGAUUCCGGGGUGCCUUCGGGAACGCAGUGACAGGUGCUGCAUGGCUGUCGUCAGCUCGUGUUGUGAAAUGUUGGGUUAAGUCCCGUAACGAGCGCAACCCUUGUCCUUAUUUGCCAGCGAUUCGGUCGGGAACUCUAAGGAGACUGCCGGUGACAAACCGGAGGAAGGUGGGGACGACGUCAAGUCAUCAUGGCCCUUACGGGUAGGGCUACACACGUGCUACAAUGGCCGGUACAAAGGGUUGCGAGACCGCGAGGUGGAGCGAAUCCCAGAAAGCCGGCCUCAGUCCGGAUCGGAGUCUGCAACUCGACUCCGUGAAGUCGGAAUCGCUAGUAAUCGUGAAUCAGAAUGUCACGGUGAAUACGUUCCCGGGCCUUGUACACACCGCCCGUCACACCAUGGGAGUGGACUGCACCAGAAGUGGUUAGCUUAACCUUCGGGAGAGCGAUCACCACG